GACGAACGCUGGUGGCGUGCUUAACACAUGCAAGUCGAACGAAGUGGCGAACGGGUGAGUAACGCGUAAUCAACCUGCCCUUCAGAGGGGGACAACAGUUGGAAACGACUGCUAAUACCGCAUACUGAAGGAGGGGAUUGCGUCUGAUUCGCUAGUUGGAGGGGUAACGGCCCACCAAGGCGAUGAACAGUAGCCGGGCUGGAGGGAAGAACGGCCACAUUGGGACUGGGACACGGGCCAAGCUCCUACGGGAGGCAGCAGUGGGGAAACUUCCGCAAUGGACGAAAGUCUGACGGAGCAACGCCGCGGGAGUGAUGACGGGCUUCGGGUUGUAAAGCUCUGUUAAUCGGGACGCGGUACCGGAAUAGAAAGCCACGGCUAACUACGUGCCAGCAGCCGCGGUAAUAC
Molecule: ribosomal RNA, 408 nt
Filed under: uncultured bacterium
Lineage: Bacteria
Description: partial 16S ribosomal RNA
Rfam family: Bacterial small subunit ribosomal RNA
Source: RNAcentral